ACCACCAGCUAAGGUCCCUAAUUAUAACUAAGUGGGAAAGGAGGUGGAGAUUCACAAACAACUAGGAGGUUGGCUUAGAAGCAGCCAUACCUUUAAAGAGUGCGUAAUAGCUCACUAGUCGAGAGUCUCUGCGCCGACAAUGUAACGGGGCUAAGUUAUAAACCGAAGCUGUGGAAUCCGUAAGGAUUGGUAGGAGAGCGUUCUGUAGGCCGUUGAAGGAGAAGGGUAACCGACUCUGGAGGUAUCAGAAGUGAGAAUGCAGGAAUAAGUAGCGAGAAAGGGGGCGAGAAUCCCCCUCGCCGGAAGACCAAGGUUUUCAGGGUAAAGCUUGUCUUCCCUGAGUAAGCCGGGACCUAAGCCCAGGCUAUAAUGCGUAGGCGAAUGGAAAACAGAUUAAUAUUUCUGUGCCAGUCAUAUAUUGUGAUGGAGGGACGCAGAAGGGUAUGCGCGCGGACGAACGGAAGUGUCCGUAGAAGUAUGUAGGAUGACUUGAUAGGAAAAUCCAUUGAGUUAUAUCUGAGGUAUGAUAUACAGUCGUAAGAUGAAUGCGCAAAUCCCACGCUGCCAAGAAAAGCUUCUAACGUUAAUAUUUGACUGCCCGUACUGCAAACCGACACAGGUGGUCAGGAUGAGAAAUCUAAGGCGGACAGGCUAACUCUCGUUAAGGAACUCUGCAAAAUAACCUCGUAACUUCGGGAGAAGAGGAGCCCUUGAGGGUCAGUAUCCACGCGAUACAAAGCGCUCGAGGGUCGCAGUGAAGAGGCUCAAGCAACUGUUUAACAAAAACACAGGUCUAUGCUAAGCUGGAAGGCGAUGUAUAUGGGCUGACACCUGCCCAGUGCUGGAAGGUUAAGAGGAGGAGUGAGAGCUCCGAAUUGAAGCCCCAGUGAACGGCGGCCGUAACUAUAACGGUCCUAAGGUAGCGAAAUUCCUUGUCGGGUAAGUUCCGACCUGCACGAAUGGUGUAAUGAUUUGAGCGCUGUCUUGACGGGAGGCCUGGUGAAAUUGUAUUACCGGUGAAGAUACCGGUUACCUACAGUAGGACGGAAAGACCCCAUGGAGCUUUACUGUAGCUUGGUAUUGGGUUUUGGCAUUGCAUGUAUAGGAUAGUUGGGAGACUGAGAUGAUAUGGCGCUAGCUGUAUCGGAGUCAUCGGUGGAAUACCAACCAUUCAAUGCUGAAAUUCUAAUCUGUGGUUUGUAGCCACGGAGACAGUGCUAGGUGGGCAGUUUGACUGGGGCGGUCGCCUCCGAAAGAGUAACGGAGGCGUUCAAAGGUUCUCUCAGGUUGGAUGGAAAUCAACCAUAGAGUGCAAUGGCAUAAGAGAGCUUGACUGCAAGACUGACGGGUCGAGCAGAUGCGAAAGCAGGACAUAGUGAUCCGGCGAUUCCGAAUGGAAGGGUCGUCGCUCAACGGAUAAAAGCUACCCUGGGGAUAACAGGCUGAUCCUACCCGAGAGUCCAUAUCGACGGUAGGGUUUGGCACCUCGAUGUCGGCUCAUCGCAUCCUGGGGCUGGAGAAGGUCCCAAGGGUUGGGCUGUUCGCCCAUUAAAGCGGUACGUGAGCUGGGUUCAGAACGUCGUGAGACAGUUCGGUCCCUAUCCACUGUAGGCGUUAGAAUAUUGAGAAGACCUGUCCUUAGUACGAGAGGACCGGGAUGGACAAACCUCUGAUGUACCAGUUGUCACGCCAGUGGCACAGCUGGGUAGUCACGUUUGGAAUAGAUAACCGCUGAAAGCAUCUAAGCGGGAAACUAACUUCAAGAUAAGUAUUCUUUAAGAUACCUUCGAGCCUAGGAGGUUGAUAGGUUGGGGGUGUAAGUGCAGCAAUGCAUUUAGCUGACCAAUACUAAUUAUCGAAGUUUUAAUC
This 1869-nucleotide ribosomal RNA is filed under the name human oral metagenome. Its description in RNAcentral is "bacterial LSU rRNA". It matches the Rfam family "Bacterial large subunit ribosomal RNA", at positions 1031 to 2925 of the family's 2925-position model. The record is from RNAcentral.